Molecule: long non-coding RNA, 312 nt
Filed under: Elaeis guineensis (African oil palm)
Lineage: Eukaryota; Viridiplantae; Streptophyta; Magnoliopsida; Arecales; Arecaceae
Description: long non-coding RNA (EGUI_LNC056841)
Source: RNAcentral
AAAAAAGACAGAGGAAUUCAAAACCGGGAAGAAGACUCCCGAUAGGAGUCUUCUUCUCCGGCGAGAUCCGGGCUAGAUCAGGACUCCUAGGACCCUUGGAGUCCUAGGGCCCCCUAUAAGAAUACCCUUCUCCCUUGAGACCGGACAUCGGCUUCUUCCCUCUCUCCUUCUCUCCGAUUUUCCCGAAAUAGAGCCGCGGACACCACCUUGUCUUCGCCGUAACUGCUCUCCGACGAAGUCAUCGGAGGUCAAGAUAAGCUUCCCUCCUUUUCCUCUCUUCCUUCCCCUUCUUUCUGUGCUCUUGUGCGCGGC